AAGAUGUAAUCACAGAGAGAAGGUCAGCACUCCCUGUGAUAAGGAUGGAGGAGGUCCUAAUGGCCUUUACAACACAUACUCUAUGGCAUCUAACCAUGCUAAUCCACUGGACGAGAUGGGAGAAGAUACAAUACAGUUCUAU
RNAcentral lists this non-coding RNA (142 nucleotides) under Vombatus ursinus (common wombat). The record is from RNAcentral. Lineage: Eukaryota; Metazoa; Chordata; Mammalia; Diprotodontia; Vombatidae.